This 655-nucleotide ribosomal RNA is filed under the name Vibrio parahaemolyticus. Its description in RNAcentral is "partial 23S ribosomal RNA". It matches the Rfam family "Bacterial large subunit ribosomal RNA", at positions 87 to 903 of the family's 2925-position model. Lineage: Bacteria; Pseudomonadati; Pseudomonadota; Gammaproteobacteria; Vibrionales; Vibrionaceae. The record is from RNAcentral.
AGUAACAACCAUUUGAGUCUGGGAUUUCUGAAUGGGGAAACCCACUUACAUAAGUAAGUAUCGUUAUGUGAAUACAUAGCAUAACGAGGCGAACCGGGGGAACUGAAACAUCUAAGUACCCCGAGGAAAAGAAAUCAACCGAGAUUCCGAAAGUAGCGGCGAGCGAAAUUGGACUAGCCCUUAAGCUUUACACGCGUUAGACGAACGGUCUGGAAAGUCCGACGAUACAGGGUGAUAGUCCCGUAGUUGACGACGUGUGUUCAGUGAAAUCGAGUAGGGCGGGACACGUGAUAUCCUGUCUGAAUAUGGGGGGACCAUCCUCCAAGGCUAAAUACUACUGACUGACCGAUAGUGAACCAGUACCGUGAGGGAAAGGCGAAAAGAACCCCUGUGAGGGGAGUGAACCAUCUAGGGGAGCCGUAGGGAAACCGAGUCUUAACUGGGCGUUCAGUCUCUGGAUAUAGACCCGAAACCAGGUGAUCUAGCCAUGGGCAGGUUGAAGGUUGAGUAACAUCAACUGGAGGACCGAACCGACUAAUGUUGAAAAAUUAGCGGAUGACUUGUGGCUAGGGGUGAAAGGCCAAUCAAACCUGGAGAUAGCUGGUUCUCCCCGAAAGCUAUUUAGGUAGCGCCUCGGACGAAUACUACUGGGGGU